This is a long non-coding RNA of Seriola dumerili (greater amberjack), 1223 nucleotides long. RefSeq lists it as uncharacterized. The record is from RefSeq and is a predicted model, not a curated record. NCBI's taxonomy places the organism in Eukaryota, Metazoa, Chordata, Actinopteri, Carangiformes, Carangidae. The transcript has 6 exons.
AAAAGAUUAAGGCAAAACUCAACAAACUCAUCCGUAAGCGCAAGAAAACAAUCUACAGCAGUCUGACAUGGACAAUCGAGGAAAUCAUGCAAGAAUGCUAUAAAAAAGCAGCAGAAUUUAGAGGACAGGGCAUGCUGGAAAACAUGAGGUACACCAUUGAGAGGCAUGUACAUGAUUCAAAGAACACCAUGUUUGACCAGGCUAAAGGUUCUCUGUUGGUCUACCUGAACAACUUGAAGCGGGACAUCCUGGAGGAACUUGAAAAAACCCUGAAGGAAUCAACUGAGGUGUCACUCAAGACAGAUGAUUACUCAAUCCCAGAUGUUUCAGAAGACAUUGACAUGGUAAAGAGUCACUAUGAUAAACUGAAGUCGAGCCCAGAUGAAGAAACAUCACUAAUUGGUAGCACUGAUCCUCCUGGCCCAGCUGCUCUGACUCCAUGACUUCUGCAGGUUUGCUCAGUGGAGAGAAGCAGCAGAGGCCUGAUGACCCACUGAAUGUCUCUGCAGGCAUGAGGUCUCGGGAUAUGUUCUUGUUCUUGCUUUGUGUUUUUCAUGAUUUAACAGUGUUUAUAUAAUACAUUUUCAUGUUUUUUCUAUGAUUUUAUAUUAUGACUUUGUUGCUGGUAGAUUUUGAUAGAAGUCUCUUUGAUUUUAUGAUUGUUUGAACUUGAAUACAGGAUUUAAUGUUAGGUUGGAUUUCUAGUUCAUUUCACCCAAUGUACAAAAAGACAUAAUGUAUUUUUCAACAUAUACCAAGUGAUUGAUAGCAGAGUAGAUUGUUUUGGUUUUAUCAGUCGAAUUUUUUAGAUGCCUGUCUCUCAAACGACGAAAUCCCCCAGACUUCACUGUCAGCUGUAUUGUACAGGAAGUACUUUCUACUGAAGAAAUAGCGCAAAAGUCUGUGGAUUGUCCUGAGCAAUGACACGUUGUUUCUGGACAGAUAUGUUGCUGUUAACCAAAUUCCAUUCACAUUUAUUUUCCAAAAGACACAAAACCAGUUUAUUUAAAUACUUCCUUUGAUACAAAGGAACUUUUAUUAAAACAAAACAAAAAAACUGUGAAGUGAAUAUGAGUCUGUGUGAUCUCUGGAUUCCUACUUUUAGCUUAUUCAUUAGAUACACUUAAAGCUACAUAUGUUUGUCUCUGCUUAUGAUCAUUGUGUUGAUUGUUGGUUGUUCAUUUUAAUUUUACAUAUUGUUCAGUAAUAAAUCUUUGAAUCUU